Molecule: microRNA, 21 nt
Filed under: Brassica rapa (field mustard)
Lineage: Eukaryota; Viridiplantae; Streptophyta; Magnoliopsida; Brassicales; Brassicaceae
Description: bra-miR9565-5p
Source: miRBase by way of RNAcentral
UCUCGUUCUCUCGUUUCAGCU